UGACUUUGUAUAGGGGCCUUUCCCAAU
RNAcentral lists this small RNA (27 nucleotides) under Bombyx mori (domestic silkworm). RNAcentral's name for it is "ovarian small RNA-32090". The record is from RNAcentral. Lineage: Eukaryota; Metazoa; Arthropoda; Insecta; Lepidoptera; Bombycidae.